GGGAAGCUUGCUUCUCGCUGACGAGCGGCGGACGGGUGAGUAAUGUAUGGGGAUCUGCCCGAUAGAGGGGGAUAACUACUGGAAACGGUAGCUAAUACCGCAUAAUCUCUCAGGAGCAAAGCAGGGGAACUUCSGUCCUUGCGCUAUCGGAUGAACCCMUAUGGGAUUAGCUAGUAGGKGAGGUAAUGGCUCACCUAGGCGACGAUCCCUAGCUGGKCUGAGAGGAUGAUCAGCCMCMCUGGGACUGARACACGGCCCAGACUCCUACGGGAGGCAGCAGUGGGGAAUAUUGCACAAUGGGCGCAAGCCUGAUGCAGCCAUGCCGCGUGUAUGAAGAAGGCCCUAGGGUUGUAAAGUACUUUCAGUCGGGAGGAAGGCGUUGAUGCUWAUAUCAUCARCGAUUGACGUUACCGACAGAAGAAGCACCGGCUAACUCCGUGCCAGCAGCCGCGGUAAUACGGAGGGUGCAAGCGUUAAUCGGAAUUACUGGGCGUAAAGCGCACGCAGGCGGUUGAUUAAGUUAGAUGUGAAAUCCCCGGGCUUAACCUGGGAAUGGCAUCUAAGACUGGUCAGCUAGAGUCUUGUAGAGGGGGGUAGAAUUUCCAUGUGUAGCGGUGAAAUGCGUAGAGAUGUGGAGGAAUUACCGGUGGCGAAGGCGGCCCCCUGGACARAGACUGACKSUCAGUGCGAAGCGUGGGGAGCAAAC
This 706-nucleotide ribosomal RNA is filed under the name Providencia sp. RNAcentral describes it as "bacterial SSU rRNA". The record is from RNAcentral. Lineage: Bacteria; Pseudomonadati; Pseudomonadota; Gammaproteobacteria; Enterobacterales; Morganellaceae.